AGCAGCCGCGGUAAUUCCAGCUCCAAUAGCGUAUAUUAAAGUUGUUGCAGUUAAAAGCUCGUAGUUGAAUUUCGGGGUUAGUAAGUUGGUCGUGCCACUGGUAUGUACUGGCUUUACUGAUUCCUCCUUCUUGUAGAACCGUAAUGCCAUUAAGUUGGUGUUGCGGGGAAACAGGACUGUUACUUUGAAAAAAUUAGAGUGUUUAAAGCAAGCUAACGCUUGAAUACAUUAGCAUGGAAUAAUGAAAUAGGGCGUUCGAUCCUAUUUUGUUGGUUUCUAGGAUUGACGUAAUGAUUAAUAGGGAUAGUUGGGGGCAUUAGUAUUCAAUUGUCAGAGGUGAAAUUCUUGGAUUUAUUGAAGACUAACUACUGCGAAAGCAUUUUGCCAAGGAUGUUUUCAUUAAUCAAGAACGAAAGUUAGGGGAUCGAAGACGAUCAGAUACCGUCGUAGUCUUAACCAUAAACUAUGCCGACUAGGGAUCGGAUGAUGUUAAUUUUUAUAAUGACUCAUUCGGCGCCUU
RNAcentral lists this ribosomal RNA (520 nucleotides) under uncultured Glomus. RNAcentral's name for it is "SSU rRNA". It matches the Rfam family "Eukaryotic small subunit ribosomal RNA", at positions 569 to 1089 of the family's 1831-position model. Lineage: Eukaryota; Fungi; Glomeromycota; Glomeromycetes; Glomerales; Glomeraceae. The record is from RNAcentral.